CAUGUUACUAAAGAUUCUCCCAGAGAAGGGAUAUAAGAUGUUUAGGGUUUCUGAAAGAGAUUUCUUCAGCUGAGUCAAAAUAUUGGAGGUGUUGGUAUCACUCGGGGGAUAAAAUAAUAUGAUUGGAACAUAAGUGGUGGGAGUUAGCUGAUCAAAUACACAGAGUUUGAAGGGUUCUUUUAGAUGAAUUUCUGGGGAAGAUGGUUUGAUGAUUUCUUUUGAAAGAAUCUGAGCCUCAAACUUCAUCAUUUCUUUGUUUUUUUUCCCUCACCAAUAUGUUUACACAAACUCUAUAGGAAGGAGAAAAAUAUAUAAACUAUUGGAGAUCAAAGCCUCCACUAUAAGAUCUUCUAGUUUUGGCUAAACUACUAUAAAAGCCCUUCACUUAGUUUACCUUUGUUAAAGCCCUUCACUAUAAGAUCUCCAAUAAAUCUGCCAAAAAUAUUGUUAAUAAUAGUAAACAAUUGUAUUAAACAUGGAUAAUAAGUGUAGAUAGUAACAUAUUUUGAUGAAUUACCCAAAAAUUCUAUUUUUUUCGAAAAAAUAUAUCGGAUUAGACCGGUUUUUUUUAAUUUAUCGGAUUAAGCUGAUUUUGGAGAGAGUGUGGAUUUGGCAGGAAAGUGCUUCUAGCUAGAUGCACUUUCCUGCUCAGUCAACAAAGCACAUCUAGCUAGACGCAUUUUCCCUAAUGGCUACCCACUCAGCGGUCGAAUUCUAAUGGCUCCCCCCUAACAGUAACUCUUUUCCCCUAUUUAAACCCCAAAUUUCCCACUUUUUCAAUUCACUCUCUACUCUCUCAAUUCAUUCUCAAUCCUCUCUUAAUUCUCACUCAAUUCUCUCAGUUCACUCUCAUUUUUUAUUAAAAUUGUAUUAAGGUUUUUUAAUUUUUUUGUAUUACAAUUUUUAUUUGUAUUUAUUGAAAUUAUUAAUGACAAAUUCUCUUAUUCGUUUAGAUGACAAGCACAUUUCGACCGUUCAAUUGCAAAUGGUAAGAAUUUUUUUAUUACUUUUAAUCUAAUCUAAUUUAAUUAUUUUGUUGUUAUAUUGAAAUUUAAGAUUUUGUAUUUUUUUUUAUAAUUAGCUAGAAGAUCGGAUUUUGGAGACGUACAUUCGCAAUCUAUCUACUCCUUUAUCGUUUUUAAUCGAACCAUACUUGUGAGAUGCAAGAUUUUUGCACAUCGCCCGUAUGGGUAAGGGGUGCAAAUUGGAACUCGAACUUGUAAGCGUGUUGGUGGAAAGAUGGUUAAAGUCUUAUUGGUUUGAGAUGUGAAAUUGGACUUAUAUUUUGUGAUGUUUUCACUUAGGUCUUAAGAUCAACUAUACUUUGUUAAAUGACAAGAUGAAACUAAAAAGGUAUGAGCUUGUAGGAUUCUGCCUACAAGGUCGCGACACUAGCUUUCAACAUUACUACGUCCUUUGUUUGAGGUCGCAACGUUAACUCAUUGUUUUCAAAGUCGCGACAUUGCACCAUCAAAGUCAUGACACCAUGUUUCUGCCAUUGAUGACGUGACGUGAAACCUUCAUGGUGGCGACGCCAACUCGAUAAAACUUGAUAACUUUGCAUUUUGGUCCUCAUAUGGUCUCGGGUUAUCAUAGGAGCUUUCAUAAGCUUGUAUAAACCCAAAUAUGAGUUGGAAGAAUGUUUUAUUGAUGUUUUAUCUGAAAUAACUUAUAUAAAAAAUGUCCUUUUUUGAAAGAACAAUUUUGUAUGUUGAUAUGUGAGGGUGAGUUACAAUAUAAAUGCAAGAGGUAGAAAAGAAAAAUGAAUGCUCUUAUUAUAGCUCCUAGUUGUUUACAUUGAUUUCACUCUUUAGUAAUUGUGCUUACUUCAAGAAGGAAAAAAUAAUGCUCAUAGCCUACACUUUGCACCCUUUUCUUUGAAUUAUUAUUAGCUUAAAUUGUCUAGUCACCUAUUUUAAGAAGUUAUUUAAUUUAAUAAUUUUCGAUAGCUUAAUUGCAAUUAGUGAUGUUUAUGAAUUGGGUUGGGUCGGAUUUGGGUCGAACUCAUGCAACGUAUUUAAAUCAAUUCUCUAAGUUCGGGACCGACUCAGUCCAGAAAAUGGACUUACUUUUUUGUUCAAACUCGAUCCGAUUUAAGAAAAGUAAAUCUGUGCUUGACCCACCCAUAUUUAAAAUCUAGUUGGAUUUUAAUAUAAGUGUUGAAUGCAUGUGUUUGAUUUAUAUAAUUAUAUAUUUUUUCAUAUUCAUAUUCAAAUUUUUAGUAGAUGAGCUGGGGCGUCACCUCAUCCUGUAUUUCUUUCCAAUUAUUUAAUGACACUUCAACAAUUCUUUUCACGUCAUUGAUACAUAAUUUUGGUAAUUUUUUAAACCCCUAAACCUUGAAUUUUGAACCCAAAACCCCAAACCCCAACUCAAACCCCAACCCUAAAUCUUAAACACUGACCUCUAAACUUGACCAAUUAAUUAAAAGUUGUAAUUUCCCAUUGAUAAGGGUUAUAAGUUGAAUUAAUUAUUCUAAGUUAUUUGAAUGGUUUAAUUAAAUGAAAAUUAUUAUUUAGAUCAAUAAACAAACCAAACAAAUCUAAACUGAGAAAAAGCUAAAAUGUUGGAUUAGUCGUCGGCUUCGUUUUUACAAUUGUUUUUGUCGAGGUAAGUUCAUAUAAAGAUUUAAAUUCAUUAAUUGAUGUUCUGAAUGUAGUUUUGAUAAAUAUUAUACUAUGUAUAGAUUAGAUUGAUAGUUAUUUGAUGUUUUGGUAUUUCAGAUAUAAUCAUAAUGAUAGCUAAAUUGAAUGUUAUAAUUGAAAAAUGUACAUUUCAUGCUCACGUGGCAAAUAUAAAAAAAUCCAUAUUUUUUAAAUUUAAAAGAAAUAAAAUGUGCAUUUUAAUUACAUUAAUUAAAAUUAAAAUUUUAUGUUGUUGAUUUGGAACUACGUAGCAAAUUGUUAAAAAUCUUUAUUGAUUUAAAAAAAAUUAAAAAAAUUAUAGAUUUUUUAAAGUUUUUUAACACUUGAUAAUUUUAUUUAUUUUUAGAUUUUUUUAAUUUUUUGAAGUUUUUUUUUUAAAUUUUGUACUCUUCUAAAAUGAAUUUGUACAACUGUUUGUGCAAAUUUAUUUGAAUAUGAAGAACUUAUUGUUUAGAUUCAUUCUAUAUGCAUAUUUUAUUUUAUUUUUUAAAAAGAUUUUAUAUUUUCAAAAAAUAAUUAUUCAAAAUAAAAAAAAAUAUUUUUUUUGCUGACUAGGCAUGCUAGGUUAGCAUACUACCACAUGGCAAAUUUUAGUGGUUUUUGUCAACCAUGUUAAUGGUUAAAUCAGUCAAGUGACAGUUUCUGUUAAUGAAAGGAACCAAUAAAUUUUUUUAUUUUUUAUUGAGAUUUUUUUUUGACCCUUGGCAAAAGAAAAUUACUUGUGCUAAUUGUAAGAAUUGACAUAAGUAACUUUAAGGACUAAUAUGAUAAUAAAAAAAAAGUUAAAUACGUCAUGUAAGUAUUUAUUAUCCAAAUAAUUUCCAUAUCUAUUUAUUAAUUAAAAUAUUCUAUAAUCCCAUAACCAAUUAACCAAUUAACCGACCUUAGCUAAGUUGGUAGAGCGGAGGACUGUAGUAGAAUAUCCAAACAGCCAUCCUUAGGUCGCUGGUUCGAAUCCGGCAGGUCGGAUAUUGCCCUUUUUUUUUUUUUUACAAUUUAUUUAAAAGAAUAGGUUAAAUUUUGCUUUUAGUCCCUAUACUUUACUUGGUACUUUUUCAAAUUUUAAAGUUGCUUUGCAUCACUUUUUCACCUUAUUAAGAGAAUAGGUUAAAUUCUACUAUUAGUCCUGAUCAAAUUGUAACUGUUAAAUAAAUUAGUUUUUGUUAUUUCUAAAAUUUGAAAUGAGAAAUACAUUAUCACAUAUCUAUUAUUUCCAAAGAUGAUAUCAGUUUAAUUCAAUCAAACUUUUUUAGAAUUUUCGAACCAUCCAUCAUACUUUAAUUUAGUAAAUGAAUCAUAAUAAAAUGAUAAAAAUAAAUCAUAUUUAUAAUUAAAUAUUUAUUAAGAAAUGAUAAAAAUUUAUAUAAUUUUUUUUAUAAAAGAUGUAUUCAAUAAAUGAAUACUUAUGUAAAUUCUUAUCAAUUUCGGUUUCAAUCUUUAUUUAAAAAUACUAUUUUUGUAAUUGUUUUAUUUAAAAUUUUGAAUAAAAAUAAUAAAAGAUAAAAGAUACUAUUUUUAAAUUAAAAUUUACAAUAUAUCAAUUUUUUUAUAUAUUUUUUACAAAUUCUUUAAUAAUGAUUAGAAUUUUUUUAUCACUAUAUUUCAAAUAUCAAAAUAAUUUAUAUCUAUUUAUUAUUUAAUUAAUUAUUAUUUUGAAUAAUGUUACUUUACAUUAAUCACAACAUGAUAAAAUGCUUUAAUUAUGAUUUGAAUUUUUUAUUAUAAUAUUUGAAUGAUUAAAUAAGUUAAUGUAUUUUAAUUAUAUUCAACCAUUCAAAUAAAGCAUAUUAUUGAACCUCAUGUGAUGGCUUGAUGGUCAAAGGUGUUCAUUGUCCUAGGUGUGACUUGAGUUCAAGUCGCGUUGGUUGUUUGGGCUUUACCUUGCUAUUGUAAUUCACAAAAAAAGGAAUAUUAUUUUAAACUAAUUAUGAUAAUUAUAAAAAAAUAUUUAAAAAAUUAAUUAAAAAUUAAACACAUAAAAUCACAUUGUAAUUAUAAAAAUUAAUUUGCAAAAAAAAAAAAAAAACUGUUGUUUUGCUGCCAUUUCACUGUUAUGUUGUUAUUGUUUGCAUAUUGUAUAAUUCUUGUUUUAUUGUUAAUUUAUUACUAUUUUAGAGGCAUUUGUUUGUUAAGUUACACCUAUCUUAGUGUUAUUUAAGUAUAAAAACAUUUUUAAAUUUAUUUUCAGUUUGUUGAGAAAUAUUUAUUUUACUGUUUUUAGUAUCUUUCAUGUUUUUUUUUUAAAAAUUAACAUAGACCGAAUUAGGUUCGGGUUUAACAUCUAUAAAACGAACCUAAAAUUUUGUUAGGACCGACUUGAACCCGACCCGACACAGGUAUAGUUUAAACCCUUGAAACAUCAUUUUCUCCGAUGUGGAGUCAUAGUUUAAAAUGUCCUCACACAGCUGCACCAAAAUGGCAUGGUGGAGUGGACACAUGCCUUUCUUCUACAAGCCUUCGUGCCUCUGAUGUUUUGGAAAGAUGCGCUUUAUUCUACGACCUUUAUAAUCAAAAUACUUACUUCAAAGGCUAUUCAUCACAGGAACUCCUCAUGAAAUGGUCUUUGGAAGCAAGCUAGAUUAUGGUUAUCUAAAGGUCUUUGGCUGUAAGUGUUUUCCUUACCUUAUACCUUUCAAUAAAAAUAAACUUGAAUCUCAUUCAAUGCCUUGAACAUGCCUUGGUUAUUGUUCAAAUCACAAAGGUUACAAGUGUCUUACAGAUGAUGGGAGGGCCGAUAUGGUAUUACGUGAAUCAAUAAAUUCGAUACGGGUAUGAGUAAUGGUAUGAAUCGAAAAGGAAAUGAAUAUGUUCUUAGUAGUAGAAACUAUGGUAUUAUUUGGUUAUAUUAAAUUGUUGAAUGCAAUAUUUGUAUGAAUUGAUAUACAAAGCUAUUAUGCAUAUAUCAUAUCUUAAUGAAAUGUGUAUUGGCUAAAGGCUGAAUUGGAAUUGAUUGUGCAUAAUCUCGGUUUUGAUAUAUGCAUGUUAAUAGUUUUGGUUGAAUUAACUUGAAUCAUAAAAGUAUUGUUGAGCUUUAUCACUUAGCGUAUGGUUUGUUUAUUCCAUGUGCAGAUAUCCAUAAAUCUUGAAGCCUCGAGAGGUGAAACAAUGUCCAAAUUGUUGAUUCUGGACUCAGAAAUGUUUGCACAAUUCUCACAUUUCAAUAGAUGACAUGUACCUAAAAUUGGACCGAUUUUUAGGUUAUAAAUGGUCAAAUUAGUGUAAUUGAAUAAUGUAUGGAAAUGAAUAGUUCAUGAAAUUGGACCUAUAUAUUGUGAUGUUUGUCAUUUAGGUCUUAAGAUCAGCUAUACUUUGUUAAAUGGCAAGUUGAAAUUACAGAGUUAUGAGCUUGUAGGAUAUUCAGCCUACAAGGUCGUGACACCAGCUUUCAACGUCACGGCGUCUCCUGUUUAAGGUCACGAUGUCAACUCCCUGUUUUCAUUGCGACAUUGCACCAUCAGAGUCGCGACACCAUGUUUUUGCCAUUGAUGUCGUGACGUGAAACCUUCAUGGUGGCGGCGCCAACUCGAUAAAAUUUAAAAACUUUACAUUUUGGUCAUCAUGUGAUCUCAGAUUAUCAUAGGAGCUUUCGUAAGCUCUUAUAACCCCGGAUAUGAGUUGAAAUAAUGUUUUAUUGAUGUUUUAUCUGAAAUAACUUGUAUAAAUUAUUGAAUGGAUCGAUAUUGUAUUCCUAGUUACUUUGACAAUGAAUGUGACAUCCCGUAACUCGGACCCGACGAUCAGGUCGGAUAUAGGGUGUUACAGAUUCUUUAAAAGAAAUUAGUUUUAGAUGUAUUUGAUGAUAAAAUUAAAUCAACUAGAUUGAUAUGACAGUUUUAUUAUUUUAAAAAUUAUAUUAAAAAUGUAUUUUUGAUAUUUAAAUUAAAAUGAAAAUAUUUUUAUUAAUAAAUAUUAAUUGUAUAGGUCAAAUUUUGCUAUUGACCCUAUAUUUUGCAUAAGUUGUAAAUUUAAUACCAAUAAUUUAAUUUCGUUAUUUUCAGUCUCUAUGCUUUUAGAAUUUGAAAAUUUCAGUCCAGUAAUUAUAAAAUUCAUUAAGUUCUGUUAUUUUCAAAAUCUGAUAAGUCAAAUAUAUUAUCGCAUGUGUAAUGUUAUGUCAGCUUGUUAGUCUCAUAUAUUACUCACAAAAAAUUCAGUUAAUAGAUUUAAUGAGUGUUGUUUACAUUAAGACUAAAAUUUCGAAAUUAAAAGGAAUAUAAUGACUAAAAUUGAUCCAAUUGGAGAAUAUAAACCAAAUCUAUGACUUUACGAUUCAUACAUGAUUAAUAGCAUAAUUUAACUAAACAAAUUUGACUGUUACCAUUUGAUUAGGACUAAAAUUAAUCAAAUUAAAGCGCAAAUAUUAAUUUCAUAACUUAUAUAAAAGUACAUGGACUAAUAACAAAAUGUAACCAAUUUUAAUGUCCUUUUUUGAAAGAAUAAUUUUUUAUGUUGAUAUGUCAGGUAGAGGUGCUCAUGGGCCGGGCCCGGCCGGGUUCGGGCCAAGCCCAUAAAAAAUUUCGGCCCGGCCCGAAAUAUGGGCCUGAAAUUUUGUCCAGGCCCAGGCCCGGCCCGGGAAAAAAAUCAUAAGCCCGGGCCCAGCCCGGCCCAUUUUUUAAAUAAAUACCAAAAAAUUAUUUUAAAAAUUAAAAAAAGUAUUUUAAAAUACUUUUUAAAAUUUUAUAUUUUAAAAUUAAAAAAAUUUUAAAAAUAUUUUAAAAAUAUUUUAAAAUUAAAAAAUAAUAAAAAAGUAUUUUAAAAUUAAAAAAUUUAAAAAAUAAAUAUAUUUAUUAUAUCGGGCCGGGUCGGGCCCGGGCCAAAAAACUGGUGCCCGAGGCUGGGCCCGUUUUCUAAACGGGCCUAGUUUUUUUGCCCAAUCCCAUAUUUCGGGCCUAUAUUUUUACCCAAACCCUCCCAUAUUUCGGGCGGACCGUCGGGUAAUGUCAGGGUGAGUUACAAUAUAAAUGCAAGAGGUAGAUAGGGGUGAACAAAAUUCGAUUCUAUUCGAUUCGAAAAACUCGAUAAAAAAACUAAAUUUUGAAUUAACUAGUUUGAGUUAUUCGGAUCAACUCGAAUAAAAAAAUUAAAAUUUCCGGUUUAACUCGAAUAUGAAUUACACAAUUCGAGUAAACAGAAAAUCUAAAUAAGAAAAGACAAAACCACGUCGUUUUGGUAAAUGUUUAUCUUUUCUAAAGUUAAAAGUCAAAACCAUUAAAUUAAAAGGCAAAACUAUUUUGUUUUGAUAAAUGUUUACCAAUCAGUCUUACUUAUGUAAUUAAAUAAUCUUGUACUUCGUCUACUAGUUAAAUAAUCAAUCCAUAUAAACACAAUAUUGAGUAUAAAUAAUGUGAUUCGUUAACUCGACUUCAAAUUUUUUCGAUUCGAAAACUAUUCAAAUUAAUUUAAUUACCAAAAAAAAUUCGUCAACUCAAUUAAUUUAAAAUUUUUUAAGUCGAUUUUACUCGACGUGACUCAACGCUGAACGGUCAGAUUGUUUAAAUUGAAUUCACUCAGUAGUAACUGUGCUUACCUACUUGCCACUUGGACGACAGACUUUCGACCAACUUAUUUAUGUGUAUUUAAUUUUCUGCAGUUUGUGUUCAAAUUAAAGCGUACUUCAAAAAUGAAAAAUUUAAUGCUCCUAGCCUUAGCUUUUUCUUUGAAUUAUUAUUAUUAUUAUACUUAAUUAAAUAACUCUUGUUAGCUUAAUUACAAUUAGAGAUAUUCAUGUAUUGGGUCGAGUUAAGUUUGGAUUAAGCGCAAAUAAAGUAUUUAGAUUACUUCUUUAAGUUCGGGUUCAGCUCAAUCCAAAAAAUAAGUUUAUUUUUUAUCCAAACCUUUAAAAAAAAAACUCGAAUCUAACCCGAUCAUAUUUAAGUUUUUUAAAUUAAUUUUUAUUUAAAAAUAGUUUUUUUUACUUUUAUUUAUUUUUUAUCCCUCUAAAAUAAUUUUUUUAACUUCGUCCUUAGUGUUGGAUAUAAAUAUAAAAGAAUAACCAUAAUUGAUGCUUUGAAUGUGUUCUCCAUUCAUGUAUUUAAACUGGUUUUUUUGGUAAAAAAAUAUUUUUUAACAGGUAUGAUUUGAUAAUAUUAAAAUCUAGCUUCCAAAUGAUUAGAAUCAGAAUUUCACUGUUGAGAUUUUUUAAGAAAUUGACUCUUAAAUGUACUAUUUUUUUCCUUUGAAAAGACAGUAUAAAUAGGAGAUUAUUCCUUAAACUUCUCCCAUUAUUUUAUUCUUGGUGUUUUGCGGAAUUACACGAGAGAGAAAUUUUGUUAGGAGAUUGGGUUUUAAACCAGACCGUCUGUGAACCCUCUAAUCUUUCAUGGGAAUUGAACCUAGUCUGGUUUCGUUGGUUUUCUUUUAGCUUAUUUUUCGAUCAUAUUUUCAACCAACUGCUUUUGUUUUUUUCAAUUUUGAUUCCUUUAUUAGAAGAGCAAUAUCAAUUAUGUUCCACAUUCUUUAUCCGGGUAUAUAGAUAUUGAAAUACUGUGUUAACCUUGGGGCGACGUCCACUAUACGAUUACACAGAUCAGAACAAAUUUGCUUUUAAGACAGUGAUUCUUCCACAGCACGAUGAUUGCUCUAUUUAUUUAGACUCAGCUUGAUUUCCUAUUAGCGCUAAACAGUUUUAUUUUAUAGUAGUAUAUUUUUAACAUUAAUAACAUGAAAACAUUACUGAAAUAUCAUUAAGAUGAGGCAAUUAUUUCUAAUGAAAAUGAUUUCCAAUAAAUAAUAUUUUAAACACUAACUGAUAAAAAAAAUUGAAAAGAAAAGAAAAACUAAUAAUCCGGCCAACAUAGCAAUCCAACAGCAAUGCUUAAAAAUACCUGAAAGACGAAAUAUAAAAGUAGAAACCAUAUACUACUGAAAAUACCUUAUUCAUAGUAGAGGAGAUUUUAUUGAUCAUCAAAGUGUUUCCAGAGACGCUUACAAGCUUGAAAUCUGGGGACUUGGAGAAGCAAAGUUUAGGAAUUCAUGAUCUUUUUGUAGUGCAGACAUUUUGGUUUCAUCUAAGGUUAUCCAAGCUUCUAUUCCUUUCCCAUAUUUGGUUUCAACGAGAACAGUGAAGUUUCUAAAUUCAGGCCCUGCUUUUCCCAGUAUUGCAAAUGAACAAGGUUGCCCCCAUCCGAAAUCUAGUUUGUGAAAAUCAGUAUUGAUCCAGCUGGUGAAGGCGAAAAUAUCAGGUUUUUCAAAGGAAAACAACAGCUCCAGCUGGUUCAAGUGCUCAGCGAUGGCUUCAAACCCUUGUUCACCUUGGAUUGAUCUCAUGUAUUCGUCGUCGAAAACAGCAAUGGAUUGACUCAUCAACUCGACCAAUGUGGAUAACUCGGUGCCUGUCUCGGCUGGAUUCGAGAGUGCACUCGCCCACCAAAAUACAUUCCCAACCGAACCAUCUAAUGUCGUAAGCUUCCCUUUUGACCUCAUGUUCACUGCUUGGACAACAAUGGAUGGUUUCAAGGUUCCUUGUAUCGCCCUGGAUGCCGCCAUUGAACAUUUCCAGAUGAAACCAGAGACAGCUUCGGUUCGUGUCGGUGUAGUCUCGACUUCCCCUUUUGCCAUGUCCUUUAGGAUGGCUACUGCUUCCUCAUUAAACACAAAUUUCCGUGUAACAAAAUUACCUUUGGUGAACCAUAAGUUUUCCAUCAUGGAUAUGUAAUUCUUGGGCAUUGGAUUUUUAGGUGGAAAGAUCAAGGAGGCCUUAGAUAAGGCAGGAAAUUUAAUUUCAGGGUGGUAUCCUUGGCAGAUUGUUCUCCAAACAAAGGUGAAAAUGAAGCCUGUUUUGGCGUCAGUGAUUUUAUGUGAGGCGCAGAUGCCUAAAGCUACUCCCCCACAUGCAAACAUGGUGACUUGACAAACCAAGAGAGGACCCUGAUGAUUUGAUUCCUUGUAGAAAGGAGGGCAUGGGAGCAAGUUGUUCAAGGUCUCAAUUUGAUGAUGCCUGAGAAACUCGGAUAAUCGACAACCGAUUCGAGCCGAUAAAAACGGAACACCGGCGUCGAAAUCAUGGAUGAACAUGUUACUAAAGAUUCUCCCAGAGAAGGGAUAUAAGAUGUUUAGGGUUUCUGAAAGAGAUUUCUUCAGCUGAGUCAAAAUAUUGGAGGUGUUGGUAUCACUCGGGGGAUAAAAUAAUAUGAUUGGAACAUAAGUGGUGGGAGUUAGCUGAUCAAAUACACAGAGUUUGAAGGGUUCUUUUAGAUGAAUUUCUGGGGAAGAUGGUUUGAUGAUUUCUUUUGAAAGAAUCUGAGCCUCAAACUUCAUCAUUUCUUUGUUUUUUUUCCCUCACC
This 10924-nucleotide long non-coding RNA is filed under the name Gossypium barbadense (sea-island cotton). RNAcentral's name for it is "long non-coding RNA (GBAR_LNC015228)". The stretch from base 3524 to 3614 matches the Rfam family "tRNA". The record is from RNAcentral. Lineage: Eukaryota; Viridiplantae; Streptophyta; Magnoliopsida; Malvales; Malvaceae.